Molecule: non-coding RNA, 3480 nt
Organism: Tetranychus urticae (two-spotted spider mite)
Lineage: Eukaryota; Metazoa; Arthropoda; Arachnida; Trombidiformes; Tetranychidae
Source: RefSeq, a predicted model, not a curated record
UGCUUCAAUAGAUGGCGUUGAUCAAUGAACAGUUUUUCUCAUUUUUAGCUUCACUGGUGUCCUCUUGCGGUGAAAUUAUCCGUAAUUUUGAAUUGGGAUUUUGAUUAAUUUUUUUAUUGUUCAAUAAUUAUUGAUUUUAUCAUUUUAUUUUUAUCUUUUCUUCAUUUUCUUUAUUCCCUAUGUUUAUGUCUUGUUCAAUUUUAUUGUAUUCCAAGGUGAUUAAUUGUUCUUACUUUUGUAUUUCAUGUGUUGCAUUCAUCUUUAAGAAAGGUCGGUUAGGAAAUUGAAAGAACGAUGAAAAGAAAAGCUUAAGUUGAAGAGUAACCGGUGGAAAGGUUACCAGACUGUACAAUGGAAGUCCAAAUUGACCUUUUGUUUUUGACUAAGGGACACAACAGGAAGGGUAAACGGACUUGAAUUUACAAUCGCCAUUGGAAAAAAUUGGAGUCAAACUGGAAAAUAACAUACAAACGGCGGAAGGGCAAUAAUAAUGUGUUUAUGUGUAUACAAAAUGAUUAACAAAUGGAGAUCAAAUAACGGUCAACUUUGGUCCAUCAAGGAUGAAAGGGAGAGAAAAGGUGAUCCGUUAAAAACAUGGUGAAUCCCAAAAAAAGAAGAAGGAGGAAAAUCAAUUUCUGCCGAGCAAACUGUUGGAUGAGGCCACUUUCUCUUCAUCUUUUCAUUUCAAGUUGUCGUCGACUUUAUCCGCAUCAUUUUACAUCAAAACUUGACCUUAUAAUGUCCCCAGGUCAAACAUCGGCUCAUCUUGAUCUAACUUUCUCUCUUUCUCUCUCUCUCUUUACGCUGUUAGAGGCCAAUUAGAGGUUAACAUUUGAUUGACAAGUAACACCAACAUUGGAAGAUGUUAAUUUCAUUUUCAUCUCUCUUCAUAUGUUCACUUGAAUCAGCAGAAAGCAGUGAACGAAGGUAGCACCAGAAGCUGAUGCUGAUGCUGAUGAUGACGAUGAUGAGCAACAAUAACGACAUACCAAUGAUCAGGAUGGGGAAAUGAUGAUUGGAUAUAAACAUUAAACAUAAUCUUGAGUCUACAAUUAGCCUCUCAAGAAAAAAAAGAAGAUAAUGAUUCCCUUGAGAUACUUCUCUUUGCCAAUACAACGUUCUCCAGCAGAUAAUAACAAUCAUCAUCUAAUUCAUUCACAUUACAAGUGGAUAGCAAACUUAACCUUUAAAGGUAGAAUAAUUAUGCAUAGGAAAUGGCAGCGAUAAAUUUAUUAAUUGCAAUUGACAGAAAUUCAUUUUCUAUGCAUUUUGCAUGCUUUUUAGUCCUGUUUUUACACAGGAAGAUGAAGGAAAGUCCAUUAGUUUUCACUGGGAAAACAUCGUCAAAAAUUGGUGAAAAACCAUUCCUGUUAUCGACACAAAUCAAGAUCGAUAAAGAUUGAAUCAAGAAAGAGAUAGGAAAGACAUGAGAUAUACAUUGGCAUAUCUUUGGGAUACAAGUUAUGACAGCAUGGAAAAUGGAAAGCCCUGAAAAUUCCAACCUGUUUUCUUGUUGUUACCUUCUGACAGCAUUUCACUUUGAUCAUUCACUUGGACGUGCUAAUUGACAUGCAGUUAAUAAAAUAAGCACACGUUAGAUGACACUAUAAGCGCUUUAAAAACGUUGCUCGAAGGUUCAAUUAUUGUAUCAAUUUUGAAAAUUGCUUAACCGUCAAAUUGGGAAAAAUUAGCUUUGAUUGCAAACUAGACAAGUGAUUAUGGUUAUGAUUUCUGGCAAAGCUUACGAAUGGAUUCUAAUCAAACUCGUUUUACUCUUUCCUGUGAUCAAAGUCACGUAAUAAUCAAGAAUUAUCAUGAAACGGGAAAAUUGAAACAAACCUUGGAGAUGAUUGGAAUAAUUGUUGGAUAAUCACCAAUCAAUGCGAGAAUUAAAAUCAAUUGGAAUUGAAAGAAACUGGUUAAUCUAUUUUUGUAUUCAUUUGUUUUUCUGGUUAAACAUUUGGUUGUUACCAGAUUUAGAGCCUUGAACCAGGAAGCUUUAUUAACCUCUUUUCCAAGCGCUAAAAUUGAUCUUAAAUGACGAUGGAAAGAUUGAUUAUGGUUGACAUUCAAUGGGAAAAAUAAAUUCACCAAACCUCUUAUUGGUAUUAUUUUUGGAAAUGCAAGUGGUCCAUAUGAUUUGUGAUUUAACAUUGAGAUUAUGGUUGUAACCUCCAUUGUAAUUGCUAUUGGUUAUUAUUUAAUAAUUAGACGAUAUUUGCCUAAUUAUGAUUUAUAAUUUAUAAAUGCUUGGAGAAAUGGUUGUCGUAAUAAGAUUUGUAGGAGGAACACGAAGACUCGUCAAGGCCAAUGUUGGACCAUUUUUGGAGAAGAGCCUAAAAAUAAGAAAUGGCUUGUAUUUGAGGUUCCUUUCUUAUUCACACCAAUUGAACCACACAUAACCAAUUUGGUGAGUUAUGUUCAACUGUUGGUGAGGUGAUGAAGAUGGGAAUGUUGGCGAAAUGGCUUAAGAUAAUCAUGGAAAAUAAGAGCACAAUUAUAACAAUAACAAUUACAAUUUAUCCCGAUAACACCAAUCUGUUAACAGAUAUUACACAAAGAUCUUUAAGAAGCCCUUAGCGCCAUCUUUACGACCAUCUCCAAUAUAACUGUUAUUAACGUCAGAUGGCGAUGGUAAAAAAACAAUGGCUUUAACCGUUUAACCGAUUACUAAGCUUUUGUUGUUAUGCUUUAAAAUUGGGAUUUUGCUGAUCAGAUUAGUGUUUAAAUUCUGAUCAACUGUUCAUCUUAUUCAGUUCAGUGCCAUUUUUAGUGUCUAGCCUGGUUAAUAGCUCAUACAAUGUCAAAAGAGUGUUUAAUUAGAAUUGUCAAAGAGUCGUAAAAGAAUCAAUGAAGUUUUCAUUUUUAACUUGCCUUUACUCACCAGUUUCAGGUUACCCAUCAAUUAAUUGGCUGCUCGCCCAAAUUGUGUUACAACAACAAUUGUAACAGUUUCCAGUCUUAUCAGUCAACCAUCUAUGUUAUUAAAACUUCCGGAAUAAUUUGAAUUACAUCUAUUAUCUAAUCAUGUUCACCAUGUUUUUACCAGCAGAGCUUUUGGUGACUCUUUACCUUCAUUUUGUGAUGCAACCAAAGAUUACAAUGGAACCAUCAACAGGAAAUUUUAUUAAAAUUAACUUACAGCAGACGUCCUUAAUCAAUACUUAAUCAGUGCAAUGUCUUAUGAUUGGUGAAUUAUGUUUAUUUGCCAAUGUGAUAUCAAGAGACAAAUGUGAUUAAAAUUAGAAGGUUUAAUGUCUUGAGGUUCAACUUGCAAUUCUCAAGCAAUAUUGCAUACCAGUUGCCUCAAGUUUAUCAGAUUACUGUUUACUUUCGCUGAUUAGUGGCAACUUUCUAACUAUUAUAGCAGUAAAUGUACCAAUAACGAAGUGUAAUAAAUGUUAUCUAAUAAUCUAACCGAUAAUUGUAACAUAUUCAAAAUAUUUGCCAAUAAAACAAAAAAAUGUUAUUACAAUUGUA